GUGCCAGCCGCCGCGGUAAUACGUAGGGUGCGAGCGUUAAUCGGAAUUACUGGGCGUAAAGCGUGCGCAGGCUGUUUUGUAAGUCAGAUGUGAAAUCCCCGAGCUCAACUUGGGAACUGCGUUUGAAACUACAAGACUAGAAUAGGUCAGAGGGGGGUAGAAUUCCACGUGUAGCAGUGAAAUGCGUAGAGAUGUGGAGGAAUAUCAAUGGCGAAGGCAGCCCCCUGGGAUCAUAUUGACGCUCAUGCACGAAAGCGUGGGGAGCAAACAGGAUUAGAUACCCUGGUAGUCCACGCCCUAAACGAUGUCUACUAGUUGUUGGUGGAGUAAAAUCCAUGAGUAACGCAGCUAACGCGUGAAGUAGACCGCCUGGGGAGUACGGUCGCAAGAUUAAAACUCAAAUGAAUUGACGG
This 413-nucleotide ribosomal RNA is filed under the name uncultured bacterium. RNAcentral describes it as "bacterial SSU rRNA". It matches the Rfam family "Bacterial small subunit ribosomal RNA", at positions 505 to 916 of the family's 1533-position model. The record is from RNAcentral.